AGGCAGACAUAUGGAUCAAUUCUGGAUCUCCAAUGCAAGAUUUUGAGGAAGCGGUUGGAAUAUAGUGGAGGGGAUGCCAUGGAAAAGAACCCUAAUGCCCGAAGACCCUAGAAGACUUGGACUCCUACCCCGUAUUCCUCAACCAACAACUGAGGAACGUAUGCAAUCACAAGUGAGAAGAGGCCUAGCGUUGGGUGAACCUCGAGACCAUGCAGGAGCUCCAGAAACCUCAUCAAGCUCAGCAACCCUGUUAGAAACACAGUCAAGGCCCUGAUUGUGCAAGACCUUUGCUGCUGGACCUCUCUAAAGAACCUUCUGAAGCCUCCACUAUCAAGCAACUAGGGGAAAACCUCCCUGCCUGCCUCCCAGUCCCAACCCCAAAACUGAUGCAGCACUUUCUUCAUGUACCAGGCCACACACACACAGACUGAUGACAGGAGCAUACACAUGGCUCUUUGUCUGGCUGGCAUAGUGAAGGAAUGGGAUGAAAUGAGAAUUUAUCUAACGCUGUGCAGAGGGCCUACACUGCCAGAUUAUUUUCAUAGGUGUACUUUGCUCUGUAAACAUGGCCUUACUUUGGAGAGUACAUUGCUUAAUUAAAGGCCCACCGUCAUCUCAUGAUGACCCCGUUCAAUUUGCCAAGCAGCUCCUCCGAAAAGUCUCUUCACAAAACGUGACAUCACACAUCCCAACUUGGCAACAAAUCAUUGGUUUAGAAGAAAACAAGGUAGUGACAAUGUGAUUCUAGCCUAUUGAAACAACACAGAGCAGACAUCCCCCUCCCCAAACACCUUGCUUCACACCUGAACCUCAUUUUGAUUUAGAUGGUGGUCGGUGGUGUACAUGUGAGGUCAUUUGAAUGGGGUGAUCAUGUGAUGACAGUGGGCCUUUAAACAGUUAGUUCAGAUUAAAUCUAUAGAGGUCUUUACACACCGAGAUCCAUCUAUCUAUGCUGCUACGUCUUUCCCAGACCACCUGUCAGCCAUAGCUCUAUGAAAAGAUAUUGUUGGCCUCUUUACCCUCCUCUAAUCCUCCCAUCCCUGUGUUCAUGGGGCUAUACCUGCCUCUAGGUGUGUAUAUUAUGUCUGGUCUGAGACAUAUUUUAUUUCUUGUUAGGUGACACAAGGUUCUGGAUCAUAAGUAUUUUUGAUCUGGUUAUAUUCUGAGUUUCUGUUUUAGCCAUUUAUCAGUUGACCAUUUUCCUUGGUAGCUAAGGGUUAACUUGCGUUUGAUCAUGUUCACCUUGCAUCUUAACUCCUUAAAGCUGGAAUCAGCGAGUCGUCUGUGACCCCCAGGACGCACCUCUUUUGAUAUUUAAUUUGUAACUAAACCCAACACUGACCUCUUUUUCUCACUUCUCUUUUUGUGUCGAGUUGAUCCAGAUCCAAUACCAAUGAUGCUUGUUCAGUAGAACCUUUCUAAAAACGCUGUCCCUGCUACCUGUUUAUCUACAACUAGCUAGCAGCUGACUACUCUGCUGUUUACAUUCUAGCUCUCUCACGCAAGCUCAUGUGCGCUCCCUCAUGCCCAAGCGCUCUCUCUCGCAUCUAUGCGCUCUCCCACUCUCACACAACUAUAGAUUGUGUAUAUAUAAACACAAGAAGUAUGGGGAAGCCUGGGGUCAUGGACGACUAGCUGAUUACCACUUUAAAUAUGUCAUUGGGUUCAGUUGUCUAGAGGAUAGUUAUGCGUUUUAUGUCCCAGUUCAACUCCUCUGGAAUAUCGGUACCAUAACGCAUCAUUUCACGUCUCUGUCUUAUUUCCCUGGACAUCCCAUUUCCCCUUGAAUAGCACGACUUGGAGUAAUUUACCUGCAUAGACCUGGCACAAUUCAUUGGUGGGGUGACAUUU
Long non-coding RNA from Oncorhynchus kisutch (coho salmon), 1851 nucleotides. RefSeq lists it as uncharacterized. The transcript is spliced from 3 exons. Lineage: Eukaryota; Metazoa; Chordata; Actinopteri; Salmoniformes; Salmonidae. The record is from RefSeq and is a predicted model, not a curated record.